RNAcentral lists this non-coding RNA (23 nucleotides) under Canis lupus familiaris (dog). Lineage: Eukaryota; Metazoa; Chordata; Mammalia; Carnivora; Canidae. RNAcentral also lists the same sequence under 3 other names. The record is from RNAcentral.
UCCCUGUCCUCCAGGAGCUCACU